AUUGAACGCUGGCGGAAUGCUUUACACAUGCAAGUCGAACGGCAGCACGGGUGCUUGCACCUGGUGGCGAGUGGCGAACGGGUGAGUAAUAUAUCGGAACGUAUCCAAUAAUGGGGGAUAACUAGCCGAAAGGUUAGCUAAUACCGCAUACGCCCUGAGGGGGAAAGCUGGGGAUCGUAAGACCUAGCGUUGAUGGAGCGGCCGAUAUCUGAUUAGCUAGUUGGUGGGGUAAGAGCCUACCAAGGCGACGAUCAGUAGAUGGUAUGAGAGGACGACCAGCAAAACUGGAGCUUAGACACGGUCCAGAAUCCUACGGGAGGCAGCAGUGGGGAAUUUUGGACAAUGGGGGCAACCCUGAUCCAGCCAUUCCGCGUGAGUGAAGAAGGCCUUCGGGUUGUAAAGCUCUUUCGCAAGGGAAGAAAACUCGAUCUCUAAUAUAGGUUGAGGCUGACGGUACCUUGAUAAGAAGCACCGGCUAACUACGUGCCAGCAGCCGCGGUAA
RNAcentral lists this ribosomal RNA (502 nucleotides) under uncultured bacterium. RNAcentral's name for it is "partial 16S ribosomal RNA". It matches the Rfam family "Bacterial small subunit ribosomal RNA", at positions 30 to 523 of the family's 1533-position model. The record is from RNAcentral.